RNAcentral lists this ribosomal RNA (497 nucleotides) under uncultured bacterium. Its description in RNAcentral is "partial 16S ribosomal RNA". It matches the Rfam family "Bacterial small subunit ribosomal RNA", at positions 29 to 507 of the family's 1533-position model. The record is from RNAcentral.
AGUGAACGCUGGCGGUAUGCCUAACACAUGCAAGUCGAGCGGCAGCACAGUAAGAUUUUGCUCUUACGGUUAGCGAGGGGCGGACGAGUGAGGAGUACAUCGCAAUCUACUUUUUCUUGGGUGAUAACGUAGGGAAACUUAUGCUAAUACCUCAUACUACGUACCGCUGAAAUCAGUGGUUCUUCGUAGCUUUCGCGAUUGAUUGAGCUGAUCUCGUGCCGGAUUAGCUAGUUGGUAAGGUAACGGCUCACCAAGGCGACGAUACGUAGCCGACCUGAGAGGAUGAUCAGCCACACUGGAACUGAGACACGGUCCAGACUCCUACGGGAGGCAGCAGUGGGGAAUCUUGGGCAAUGGGCGCAAGCCUGACCCAGCAAUGCCGCGUGGGUGAAGAAGGUCUUCGGGUUGUAAAGCCCUUUUGUUGGGAAAGAACAGCAGCAGGUUAAUCCCUGGAUGUUUUGACGGUACCCAAAGAAUAAGCAACGGCUAACUUCGUG